Molecule: ribosomal RNA, 253 nt
Filed under: uncultured bacterium
Lineage: Bacteria
Description: partial 16S ribosomal RNA
Rfam family: Bacterial small subunit ribosomal RNA
Source: RNAcentral
UACGUAGGGUGCGAGCGUUGUCCGGAAUUAUUGGGCGUAAAGGGCUCGUAGGCGGUCUGUCACGUCGGGAGUGAAAACACGGGGCUUAACCCCGUGCCUGCUUCCGAUACGGGCAGACUAGAGGUAUGCAGGGGAGAACGGAAUUCCUGGUGUAGCGGUGAAAUGCGCAGAUAUCAGGAGGAACACCGGUGGCGAAGGCGGGUCUCUGGGCCGAUAUUGACGCUGAGGAGCGAAAGCGUGGGGAGCGAACAGG